This 1501-nucleotide ribosomal RNA is filed under the name Citrobacter freundii. Its description in RNAcentral is "partial 23S ribosomal RNA". It matches the Rfam family "Bacterial large subunit ribosomal RNA", at positions 1363 to 2839 of the family's 2925-position model. The record is from RNAcentral. Lineage: Bacteria; Pseudomonadati; Pseudomonadota; Gammaproteobacteria; Enterobacterales; Enterobacteriaceae.
CGUUACUCGGGGCAGGGUGAGUCGACCCCUAAGGCGAUGCCGAAAGGCGUAGUCGAUGGGAAAGAGGUUAAUAUUCCUGUACUUGGUGUUACUGCGAAGGGGGGACGGAGAAGGCUAUGUUAGCCGGGCGACGGUUGUCCCGGUUUAAGCAUGUAGGCGGAGGUUCCAGGUAAAUCCGGUACCUUUUUAACGCUGAGGUGUGAUGACGAGGCACUACGGUGCUGAAGUAACAAAUGCCCUGCUUCCAGGAAAAGCCUCUAAGCAUCAGGUAACACGAAAUCGUACCCCAAACCGACACAGGUGGUCAGGUAGAGAAUACCAAGGCGCUUGAGAGAACUCGGGUGAAGGAACUAGGCAAAAUGGUGCCGUAACUUCGGGAGAAGGCACGCUGAUAUGUAGGUGAAGUGAUUUACUCAUGGAGCUGAAAUCAGUCGAAGAUACCAGCUGGCUGCAACUGUUUAUUAAAAACACAGCACUGUGCAAACACGAAAGUGGACGUAUACGGUGUGACGCCUGCCCGGUGCCGGAAGGUUAAUUGAUGGGGUUAUCCGUAAGGAGAAGCUCUUGAUCGAAGCCCCGGUAAACGGCGGCCGUAACUAUAACGGUCCUAAGGUAGCGAAAUUCCUUGUCGGGUAAGUUCCGACCUGCACGAAUGGCGUAAUGAUGGCCAGGCUGUCUCCACCCGAGACUCAGUGAAAUUGAACUCGCUGUGAAGAUGCAGUGUACCCGCGGCAAGACGGAAAGACCCCGUGAACCUUUACUAUAGCUUGACACUGAACACUGGUCCUUGAUGUGUAGGAUAGGUGGGAGGCUUUGAAGUGUGGACGCCAGUCUGCAUGGAGCCAUCCUUGAAAUACCACCCUUUAAUGGCUGGUGUUCUAACGUGGACCCGUAAUCCGGGUUGCGGACAGUGUCUGGUGGGUAGUUUGACUGGGGCGGUCUCCUCCUAAAGAGUAACGGAGGAGCACGAAGGUUAGCUAAUCCUGGUCGGACAUCAGGAGGUUAGUGCAAAGGCAUAAGCUAGCUUGACUGCGAGAGUGACGGCUCGAGCAGGUGCGAAAGCAGGUCUUAGUGAUCCGGUGGUUCUGAAUGGAAGGGCCAUCGCUCAACGGAUAAAAGGUACUCCGGGGAUAACAGGCUGAUACCGCCCAAGAGUUCAUAUCGACGGCGGUGUUUGGCACCUCGAUGUCGGCUCAUCACAUCCUGGGGCUGAAGUAGGUCCCAAGGGUAUGGCUGUUCGCCAUUUAAAGUGGUACGCGAGCUGGGUUUAGAACGUCGUGAGACAGUUCGGUCCCUAUCUGCCGUGGGCGCUGGAGAAUUGAGGGGGGCUGCUCCUAGUACGAGAGGACCGGAGUGGACGCAUCACUGGUGUUCGGGUUGUCAUGCCAAUGGCAUUGCCCGGUAGCUAAAUGCGGAAGAGAUAAGUGCUGAAAGCAUCUAAGCACGAAACUUGCCCCGAGAUGAGUUCUCCCUGAGACUUUAAGUCUCCUGAAGGAACGUU